RNAcentral lists this ribosomal RNA (479 nucleotides) under uncultured bacterium. RNAcentral describes it as "bacterial SSU rRNA". It matches the Rfam family "Bacterial small subunit ribosomal RNA", at positions 29 to 526 of the family's 1533-position model. The record is from RNAcentral.
AAUGAACGUUGGCGGCGUGGAUUAGGCAUGCAAGUCGAGCGGGUAUAGCAAUAUAUCAGCGGCGAAAGGGAGAGUAACGCGUAGUUACGUGCCCCGAGGUCCAGAAUAGCCAGCCGAAAGGCUGGGUAAUGCUGGAUGAUAUCUCCGGAUCAAAGGUGUGAUUCCGCCUCGGGAGCGGACUGCGUCCUACUAGCUAGUUGGCGGGGUAAUGGCCCACCAAGGCAACGAUGGGUAGCGGGUGUGAGAGCAUGACCCGUCUCACUGGGACUGAGACACUGCCCAGACACCUACGGGUGGCUGCAGUCGAGAAUCUUCGGCAAUGAGCGCAAGCUUGACCGAGCGACGCCGCGUGCGGGAUGAAGGCCUUCGGGUUGUAAACCGCUUUCGGUUGGGAGGAAAUCGCUAGGGGUUCUCCCCUAGUGUUGACCUAUCUUCGGAAGAAGGACGGGCUAAGUUCGUGCCAGCAGCCGCGGUAAAAC